ACUCAAAGGAAUUGACGGGGGCCCGCACAAGCGGCGGAGCAUGUUGCUUAAUUCGAUGCAACGCGAAGAACCUUACCUAGGCUUGACAUGCACCGAAAAGCCACAGAGAUGUGGUGUCCUUCGGGGCGGUGCACAGGUGGUGCAUGGUUGUCGUCAGCUCGUGUCGUGAGAUGUUGGGUUAAGUCCCGCAACGAGCGCAACCCUUGUCCUAUGUUGCCAGCGGGUAAUGCCGGGGACUCGUAGGAGACUGCCGGGGUCAACUCGGAGGAAGGUGGGGAUGACGUCAAAUCAUCAUGCCCCUUACGUCUAGGGCUGCAAACAUGCUACAAUGGCCGGUACAAAGGGCUGCUAUCCCGCGAGGGUGAGCGAAUCCCAAAAAGCCGGUCUCAGUUCGGAUUGGAGUCUGCAACUCGACUCCAUGAAGUCGGAGUCGCUAGUAAUCCCGGAUCAGCACUGCCGGGGUGAAUACGUUCCCGGGCCUUGUACACACCGCCCGU
Molecule: ribosomal RNA, 497 nt
Filed under: uncultured bacterium
Lineage: Bacteria
Description: partial 16S ribosomal RNA
Rfam family: Bacterial small subunit ribosomal RNA
Source: RNAcentral